RNAcentral lists this ribosomal RNA (444 nucleotides) under uncultured bacterium. Its description in RNAcentral is "SSU rRNA". It matches the Rfam family "Bacterial small subunit ribosomal RNA", at positions 26 to 518 of the family's 1533-position model. The record is from RNAcentral.
AGAGCGAACGCUGGCGGCAGGCCUAAUACAUGCAAGUCGAACGGACCCUUCGGGGUUAGUGGCGGACGGGUGAGUAACACGUGGGAACGUGCCCUUUGGUUCGGAACAACUCAGGGAAACUUGAGCUAAUACCGAAUGUGCCCUUCGGGGGAAAGAUUUAUCGCCAUUGGAGCGGCCCGCGUCUGAUUAGCUAGUUGGUGAGGUAAAGGCUCACCAAGGCUACGAUCAGUAGCUGGUCUGAGAGGAUGAUCAGCCACACUGGGACUGAGACACGGCCCAGACUCCUACGGGAGGCAGCAGUCGGGAAUUUGCUCAAUGGACGAAGUCUGAAGCAGCAACGCCGCGUGAGGGAUGAAGGCCUUCGGGUUGUAAACCUCUUUUAUCAGGGACGAUAAUGACGGUACCUGAUGAAUAAGUCACGGCUAACUACGUGCCAGCAGCCGC